RNAcentral lists this ribosomal RNA (129 nucleotides) under uncultured bacterium. RNAcentral describes it as "partial 16S ribosomal RNA". It matches the Rfam family "Bacterial small subunit ribosomal RNA", at positions 917 to 1045 of the family's 1533-position model. The record is from RNAcentral.
GGGCCCGCACAAGCAGCGGAGCAUGUGGUUUAAUUCGAAGCAACGCGAAGAACCUUACCUAGACUUGACAUCCCUUGCAUAACCCAGAGAUGGCGUGAAGUCCUUCGGUACAAGGUGACAGGUGGUGCA